GAUUGAACGCUGGCGGCAGGCCUAACACAUGCAAGUCGAGCGGUAGCACAGAGAGCUUGCUCUCGGGUGACGAGCGGCGGACGGGUGAGUAAUGUCUGGGAAACUGCCUGAUGGAGGGGGAUAACUACUGGAAACGGUAGCUAAUACCGCAUAAUGUCGCAAGACCAAAGUGGGGGACCUUCGGGCCUCAUGCCAUCAGAUGUGCCCAGAUGGGAUUAGCUAGUAGGUGGGGUAACGGCUCACCUAGGCGACGAUCCCUAGCUGGUCUGAGAGGAUGACCAGCCACACUGGAACUGAGACACGGUCCAGACUCCUACGGGAGGCAGCAGUGGGGAAUAUUGCACAAUGGGCGCAAGCCUGAUGCAGCCAUGCCGCGUGUGUGAAGAAGGCCUUCGGGUUGUAAAGCACUUUCAGCGGGGAGGAAGGCGUUAAGGUUAAUAACCUUGGCGAUUGACGUUACCCGCAGAAGAAGCACCGGCUAACUCCGUGCCAGCAGCCGCGGUAAUACGGAGGGUGCAAGCGUUAAUCGGAAUUACUGGGCGUAAAGCGCACGCAGGCGGUCUGUCAAGUCGGAUGUGAAAUCCCCGGGCUCAACCUGGGAACUGCAUUCGAAACUGGCAGGCUAGAGUCUUGUAGAGGGGGGUAGAAUUCCAGGUGUAGCGGUGAAAUGCGUAGAGAUCUGGAGGAAUACCGGUGGCGAAGGCGGCCCCCUGGACAAAGACUGACGCUCAGGUGCGAAAGCGUGGGGAGCAAACAGGAUUAGAUACCCUGGUAGUCCACGCCGUAAACGAUGUCGAUUUGGAGGUUGUGCCCUUGAGGCGUGGCUUCCGGAGCUAACGCGUUAAAUCGACCGCCUGGGGAGUACGGCCGCAAGGUUAAAACUCAAAUGAAUUGACGGGGGCCCGCACAAGCGGUGGAGCAUGUGGUUUAAUUCGAUGCAACGCGAAGAACCUUACCUGGUCUUGACAUCCACAGAACUUUCCAGAGAUGGAUUGGUGCCUUCGGGAACUGUGAGACAGGUGCUGCAUGGCUGUCGUCAGCUCGUGUUGUGAAAUGUUGGGUUAAGUCCCGCAACGAGCGCAACCCUUAUCCUUUGUUGCCAGCGGUUCGGCCGGGAACUCAAAGGAGACUGCCAGUGAUAAACUGGAGGAAGGUGGGGAUGACGUCAAGUCAUCAUGGCCCUUACGACCAGGGCUACACACGUGCUACAAUGGCAUAUACAAAGAGAAGCGACCUCGCGAGAGCAAGCGGACCUCAUAAAGUAUGUCGUAGUCCGGAUUGGAGUCUGCAACUCGACUCCAUGAAGUCGGAAUCGCUAGUAAUCGUAGAUCAGAAUGCUACGGUGAAUACGUUCCCGGGCCUUGUACACACCGCCCGUCACACCAUGGGAGUGGGUUGCAAAAGAAGUAGGUAGCUUAACCUUCGGGAGGGCGCUUACCACUUUGUGAUUCAUGACUGGGGUGAAGUCGUAACAAGG
This 1477-nucleotide ribosomal RNA is filed under the name uncultured bacterium. Its description in RNAcentral is "bacterial SSU rRNA". It matches the Rfam family "Bacterial small subunit ribosomal RNA". The record is from RNAcentral.